Molecule: long non-coding RNA, 259 nt
Organism: Condylura cristata (star-nosed mole)
Lineage: Eukaryota; Metazoa; Chordata; Mammalia; Eulipotyphla; Talpidae
Exons: 3
Source: RefSeq, a predicted model, not a curated record
AGGUGGAGGGUGUUGGAGGGCGCCAGCCUGGGGCGCUGCUCCUUGGGAGACCCGGGUCUCCGGAAGACGGAUAAGUGCCGGCUGAGGCAGGGCUGGUUAAACUCGGGGUCCACUGCAUCACGGGCCAGAAGGUCGCCAUUAAGAUCGUGAACCGGGAGAAGCUGUCCGAGUCGGUGCUGAUGAAGGUGGAGCGGGAGAUCGCCAUCCUGAAGCUCAUCGAACACCCCCACGUCCUCAAGCUGCACGACGUCUACGAGAA